This 449-nucleotide ribosomal RNA is filed under the name uncultured bacterium. Its description in RNAcentral is "partial 16S ribosomal RNA". It matches the Rfam family "Bacterial small subunit ribosomal RNA", at positions 29 to 523 of the family's 1533-position model. The record is from RNAcentral.
AACGAACGCUGGCGGCAUGCCUAACACAUGCAAGUCGAACGAGAUCUUCGGGUCUAGUGGCGCACGGGUGCGUAACGCGUGGGAAUCUGCCCUUUGGUUCGGAAUAACAGUUGGAAACGACUGCUAAUACCGGAUGAUGACGAAAGUCCAAAGAUUUAUCGCCAGAGGAUGAGCCCGCGUAGGAUUAGCUAGUUGGUGUGGUAAAGGCGCACCAAGGCGACGAUCCUUAGCUGGUCUGAGAGGAUGAUCAGCCACACUGGGACUGAGACACGGCCCAGACUCCUACGGGAGGCAGCAGCGGGGAAUAUUGGACAAUGGGCGAACGCCUGAUCCAGCAAUGCCGCGUGAGUGACGAAGGCCUUAGGGUUGUAAAGCUCUUUUACCCGGGAUGAUAAUGACAGUACCGGGAGAAUAAGCUCCGGCUAACUCCGUGCCAGCCGCCGCAGUAA